AUCCCGGCUUACCAAACCGAUGCAAACUCCGAAUACCGAAGAAUGUUAUCACGGGAGACACACGGCGGGUGCUAACGUCCGUCGUGAAGAGGGAAACAACCCAGACCGCCAGCUAAGGUCCCAAAGUCAUGGUUAAGUGGGAAACGAUGUGGGAAGGCAUAGACAGCCAGGAUGUUGGCUUAGAAGCAGCCAUCAUUUAAAGAAAGCGUAAUAGCUCACUGGUCGAGUCGGCCUGCGCGGAAGAUGUAACGGGGCUAAACCAUGCACCGAAGCUGCGGCAGCGACGCUUAGGCGUUGUUGGGUAGGGGAGCGUUCUGUAAGCCGUUGAAGGUGGCCUGUGAGGGUUGCUGGAGGUAUCAGAAGUGCGAAUGCUGACAUAAGUAACGAUAAAGCGGGUGAAAAGCCCGCUCGCCGGAAGACCAAGGGUUCCUGUCCAACGUUAAUCGGGGCAGGGUGAGUCGACCCCUAAGGCGAGGCUGAAAAGCGUAGUCGAUGGGAAACAGGUUAAUAUUCCUGUACUUGGUGUUACUGCGAAGGGGGGACGGAGAAGGCUAGGCUAGCCGGGCGACGGUUGUCCCGGUUUAAGCGUGUAGGGGGUGUGACCUGGUAAAUCCGGUUGCAUGCUAACCCUGAGGCGUGAUGACGAUGCACUACGGUGCAGAAGUAGUUGAUGCCCUGCUUCCAGGAAAAUCCUCUAAGCUCCAGGUAACAUUAAAUCGUACCCCAAACCGACACAGGUGGUCAGGUAGAGAAUACCAAGGCGCUUGAGAGAACUCGGGUGAAGGAACUAGGCAAAAUGGUGCCGUAACUUCGGGAGAAGGCACGCUGGCAUGUAGGUGAAGUCCCUUGCGGAUGGAGCUGAAGCCAGUCGAAGAUACCAGCUGGCUGCAACUGUUUAAUAAAAACACAGCACUGUGCAAACACGAAAGUGGACGUAUACGGUGUGACGCCUGCCCGGUGCUGGAAGGUUAAUUGAUGGGGUCAGCCGCAAGGCGAAGCUCUUGAUCGAAGCCCCAGUAAACGGCGGCCGUAACUAUAACGGUCCUAAGGUAGCGAAAUUCCUUGUCGGGUAAGUUCCGACCUGCACGAAUGGCGUAAUGAUGGCCAGGCUGUCUCCACCCGAGACUCAGUGAAAUUGAACUCGCUGUGAAGAUGCAGUGUACCCGCGGCAAGACGGAAAGACCCCGUGAACCUUUACUAUAGCUUGACACUGAACAUUGAGCCUUGAUGUGUAGGAUAGGUGGGAGGCUUUGAAGCGUGGACGCCAGUCUGCGUGGAGCCAUCCUUGAAAUACCACCCUUUAAUGUUUGAUGUUCUAACUCGGCCCCGUAAUCCGGGGUGAGGACAGUGUCUGGUGGGUAGUUUGACUGGGGCGGUCUCCUCCCAAAGAGUAACGGAGGAGCACGAAGGUUAGCUAAUCACGGUCGGACAUCGUGAGGUUAGUGCAAAGGCAUAAGCUAGCUUGACUGCGAGAGUGACGGCUCGAGCAGGUACGAAAGUAGGUCUUAGUGAUCCGGUGGUUCUGAAUGGAAGGGCCAUCGCUCAACGGAUAAAAGGUACUCCGGGGAUAACAGGCUGAUACCGCCCAAGAGUUCAUAUCGACGGCGGUGUUUGGCACCUCGAUGUCGGCUCAUCACAUCCUGGGGCUGAAGUAGGUCCCAAGGGUAUGGCUGUUCGCCAUUUAAAGUGGUACGCGAGCUGGGUUUAGAACGUCGUGAGACAGUUCGGUCCCUAUCUGCCGUGGGCGUUGGAAGAUUGAGAGGGGUUGCUCCUAGUACGAGAGGACCGGAGUGAACGCACCACUGGUGUUCGGGUUGUCAUGCCAAUGGCAUUGCCCGGUAGCUAAGUGCGGAAAAGAUAAGCGCUGAAAGCAUCUAAGCGCGAAACUUGCCUCAAGAUGAGUCUUCCCUGGGCCUUUAAGGCCCCUGAAGGAACGUUUAAGACUAAGACGUUGAUAGGCUGGGUGUGUAAGUGCAGCGAUGCAUUGAGCUAACCAGUACUAAUGAUCCGUGAGGCUUAACCUU
This 2024-nucleotide ribosomal RNA is filed under the name Serratia marcescens. RNAcentral's name for it is "bacterial LSU rRNA". It matches the Rfam family "Bacterial large subunit ribosomal RNA", at positions 928 to 2925 of the family's 2925-position model. Lineage: Bacteria; Pseudomonadati; Pseudomonadota; Gammaproteobacteria; Enterobacterales; Yersiniaceae. The record is from RNAcentral.